Molecule: long non-coding RNA, 1284 nt
Organism: Bos taurus (domestic cattle)
Lineage: Eukaryota; Metazoa; Chordata; Mammalia; Artiodactyla; Bovidae
Source: Ensembl
GGAACCACCACUUUAAGGGUUUUUUGUUGUUGUUGUAUAGUCACUAAGUCGUGUCUGACUCUUUGCAACCCACCAGACUCCUCUGUUCAUAGCAGUUCCUGGGCAAGAAUACUGGAGUGGGUUGCCAUUUUCUUCUCCAUGGAAUCUUCCUGAACCAGGGAUCAAACCUGCAUCUCCUGCAUUGCAAGUGGAUUCUUUACUGUUGAGCCAUCAGGAAAGCUCAGUUAAGGGCUUUUAGGGAGAACAACUUUUAUUCUAUUCUGGAGACUGAUCUCUGCAACUUGAUAUCUUGGGAGUGGGAAGGCGUUAAGUGCUAUCCUGCUGAGUCACUUCCGACUUCUUGUUCAUCAUGCUCAGCUCCUGAAAAUGGAAUGGAUGGAAAGGGCUGGAUAUUGUACUGUCUGGUGAUGCGUUUAAGGAGAACUGAGUGUCUGUCAGGCUGGCUCCCCAUGGACGGAAUGCUGGGGAUGUGAACUGAGCAGCGCCUGAAGUGUGUUUCUCAUCUGACACAUAGGACACUUUGCCUUGGAUUGUAAUGCUAAUAAUAACCACUCCACUUACUGCCACCCAUGAGGAGCCAGGCAGGCCCUGGGCUUGUGCUUUCCAUGACUGUCUAUUUGAAUCAUCACAACAGUUGGAGAAGUCAGGGAUCCUGUAUUUUAUGGACAAGGAAAUUCAGACUAAGACAGGUUAGGGAAUUUGCCCUAGAUCAUAACAGCUAGUAGGUGGCAGAGCAGGGAUUCAAAUCCAUAAUCUAGAUCUGUGCUGUUUCAUAAGAUAACCACUAGCCACAUGAGGCUGUGUGUGUGCGUUCUGUUACUCAGUCGUGUCCAACUCUUUGUGACCCCAUGGACUGCAGCCUGCCAUGCUCCUCUGUCCAUGGGAUUCUCCAGCAAGAAUAGUGGAGUAGGUUGCCCUUUCCAGGGGAUCUUCCCAAUGCAGGGAUCAAACCUGCGUCUCCUGCAUUGGCAGGCAAAUUCUUCAUCACUGCGCCACCUGGGAAGCCCCACAUGAGGCUAUUCAGUUCAGUUCACUCGCUCAGUCAUGUCCAACUCUUUGCAACCCCAUGAAUCGCAGCACACCAGGCCUCCCUGUCCAUCACCAACUCCCGGAGUUCACCCAGACUCACGUCCAUUGAGACAGUGAUGCCAUCCAGCCAUCUCAUCCUCUGUCAUCCCCUUCUCCUCCUGCCCCCAAUCCCUCCCAGCAUCAGAGUCUUUUCCAAUGAGUCAACUCUUCGCAUGAGGUGGCCAAAGUACUGGAGUUUCAGCUUCAGCAUCAUUC